CCUGGCUGCAGAAGACACCUCAGAAGUGGGCUGGCAAGGAGAGGCCUAGCUGCAAGGUCUGUCUGCAGAAAUACAGAGACCACCAAAGGGAACAAAAACAGAAGCAGAUAGAAGAGGUGACAUCCUCACAGGAGAAGGAACUGGCUGAAAAAGAUGCCACCAUAAGAGCUUUGGAAGAGGAGAACAAGAGCUUAGCCAGCGAACUGGUCCAGCUUCUGAAGCAGAACGAGGAACUGGAGCACAAAAUAAAUCUCGAUCCAGAAAGAGAUGCUGACAGAAAGGAAUUGCAGGUUGAAAUAUUAAAAAACAAAUGUGAAAAGUACCAGAAGGCAAUCAGCUGACUCACCACUAUAAGUAUCUUACAUGAUAGUAAGAAAUUAGAACAACUUCUGUAAGUGAGAUUUUAUAAUGUAUUAAUUGUACUUCCUCAAUUUCUUUUUACAGGAGGUCUCAAAAGAGACUCUCAGGAACAGAGACCUUAUAACAGCUCGGGAGCAGGGAAUCGACAACGUCUGCUCCACCUCCAGUCUCUACCCUUCUCUGGGAGAAAAAUGGCUGUCCAUGGUGACUCUGCGAGAAGCCAACCUGAAGAAAAAACUGAUUGUGUGUAAAAGGCAAAUGAUACAGUUUUUAAGACAUUAGAUUUUUUUUCUGUGGAAAAGUUAUUAUAUAACAUUUGGUAGUAAAAAUCAAAUCAAGUUCACAACACAAUGUUUAUUCUUUUACAGUUAGAGCAGUUAGAGUCUAGGGAUAUUCCCAGGAUUUCUCAGGUAUACCUAUUCAAAAAUGUUGAACCAAAUAUAACAUAGAGAAAGAUGAGAUCCCAUGUUUAUUGAAUAAACGUGAAAUAAUCACACUGAGAAGUAAUUGUUUCCUAGGAGAUUUACAUAGGAGUCAUGCAAGUAUCAUGUAAGAUACUUACAGUGUUGACUCUGGUAAUUGCCUUCUGGUCUGAAUUUUUCUGAGAUUUUUCACAUUCAGAUUAGCUAUAACAUUCAGCCAUGAAAUAGGAGAUUUUAGACAGAAUGCCCUUUCUCGUGGCAUUAGAAAUAGAAUGUAGAUGGUUUUUCUUGAUAUGCUUGGCUGAAUUGUUCCAAAGGCAAAUGUGAUGAAAAAAUUUGCUAAUAUUCUGCCUGCUAAUUUUUGCUGAGAAGUUAUUCAUCAGAUAAAUUAAGUUUCGAACUCUUAGCUGGACAGAAAGUGAGGCAAGUGACAAGACCUCACCCUGCCACGCAGAGCUAGGGCUCAGACCGUCAGAGCUGAGACCAUUUCCAGCAUCAUUAAGCCACUGAGCCACCGCUUUCUACAAUUCAAAUGAUCCAAAUAGAUAUGAGUUAAUAAUGUCCAAAAUAGGAUUAAAAUAUGCAAGUAAC
Molecule: long non-coding RNA, 1373 nt
Organism: Crotalus tigris (Tiger rattlesnake)
Lineage: Eukaryota; Metazoa; Chordata; Lepidosauria; Squamata; Viperidae
Exons: 6
Source: RefSeq, a predicted model, not a curated record